This is a non-coding RNA of Acanthosepion pharaonis, 110 nucleotides long. Lineage: Eukaryota; Metazoa; Mollusca; Cephalopoda; Sepiida; Sepiidae. The record is from the annotation of a GenBank genome assembly.
UGGUGAUAUCAUGUUGAAAUGCUGGUUCUUGUACGAUCACUGAAGUUAAGCAAUGUUGAGCUUGGUCAGUACCUAGAUGGGUAACUGCAAGUGAAUAUCAGGUGCUGUAA